UGGGGAGUAUUGCGCCAUGGGGGAAACCCUGAAGCAGCGACGCCGCGUGGAGGACGACGCGCUUCGGGGUGUAAACUCCUUUCGACGGGGACGAACGCCCGCACGGCCCUGACGGUACCCGUAGAAGAAGCCCCGGCUAACUACGUGCCAGCAGCCGCGGUAAUACGUAGGGGGCAAGCGUUGCUCGGAAUUACCGGGCGUAAAGGGUCCGUAGGCGGUAGGGUAAGUCGACGGUGAAAUCUCCCGGCUUAACAGGGAGGGGCCCGCCGAAACUGCUCUACUCGAGGGCCGGAGAGGCGAGUGGAAUUGCCGGUGUAGCGGUGAAAUGCGUAGAUAUCGGCAGGAACACCGGAGGCGAAAGCGGCUCGCUGGACGGCUCCUGACGCUGAGGGACGAAAGCUAGGGGAGCAAACAGGAUUAGAUACCCGUGUAGUCC
Molecule: ribosomal RNA, 436 nt
Filed under: uncultured prokaryote
Description: bacterial SSU rRNA
Rfam family: Bacterial small subunit ribosomal RNA
Source: RNAcentral